CCAGCAGGCCGGGCAGCCGCUCCCCGCCCCGUGCGGGGAGAGGAAAGUCCGGACUCCACCGGGCAGGGUGCCAGGUAACGCCUGGGCGGCGUGAGCCGACGGAAAGUGCAACAGAAACAUACCGCCUCCGGUCGCCCCCGGCGGCCGGCGGUAAGGGUGAAAUGGUGCGGUAAGAGCGC
Molecule: RNase P RNA, 179 nt
Filed under: Bacillota bacterium
Lineage: Bacteria; Bacillati; Bacillota
Description: Firmicutes bacterium (sediment metagenome) partial RNase P RNA component class A
Rfam family: Bacterial RNase P class A
About the family: Ribonuclease P (RNase P) is a ubiquitous endoribonuclease, found in archaea, bacteria and eukarya as well as chloroplasts and mitochondria. Its best characterised activity is the generation of mature 5'-ends of tRNAs by cleaving the 5'-leader elements of precursor-tRNAs. Cellular RNase Ps are ribonucleoproteins.
Source: RNAcentral